RNAcentral lists this ribosomal RNA (253 nucleotides) under uncultured bacterium. RNAcentral describes it as "partial 16S ribosomal RNA". It matches the Rfam family "Bacterial small subunit ribosomal RNA", at positions 524 to 776 of the family's 1533-position model. The record is from RNAcentral.
UACAGAGGGUGCAAGCGUUAAUCGGAAUUACUGGGCGUAAAGGGCGCGUAGGCGGCGCGGGUAGUCAUCGGUGAAAGUUCAGGGCUCAACUCUGAAUCGGCCGGUGAUACUCCCGUGCUCGAGCACUGUAGAGGCAGGUGGAAUUCCGGGUGUAGCGGUGGAAUGCGUAGAGAUCCGGAAGAACACCGGUGGCGAAGGCGGCCUGCUGGGCAGUAGCUGACGCUGAUGCGCGACAGCGUGGGGAGCAAACAGG